RNAcentral lists this transfer RNA (69 nucleotides) under Ophiophthalmus serratus. RNAcentral's name for it is "tRNA-Cys". Lineage: Eukaryota; Metazoa; Echinodermata; Ophiuroidea; Amphilepidida; Ophiacanthidae. The record is from RNAcentral.
AGUUUUAUGGUGUAAAGAUUAGCACGAGUGGUUGCAAACCACUUAGAGAUAUAAAUAUCUAAGACUUUA